This 468-nucleotide ribosomal RNA is filed under the name uncultured bacterium. RNAcentral describes it as "partial 16S ribosomal RNA". It matches the Rfam family "Bacterial small subunit ribosomal RNA", at positions 28 to 507 of the family's 1533-position model. The record is from RNAcentral.
GACGAACGCUGGCGGCGUGCUUAACACAUGCAAGUCGAACGGAAAGGCCCUGCUUUUGUGGGGUGCUCGAGUGGCGAACGGGUGAGUAACACGUGAGUAACCUGCCCUUGACUUUGGGAUAACUUCAGGAAACUGGGGCUAAUACCGGAUAGGAGCUCCUGCUGCAUGGUGGGGGUUGGAAAGUUUCGGCGGUUGGGGAUGGACUCGCGGCUUAUCAGCUUGUUGGUGGGGUAGUGGCUUACCAAGGCUUUGGAGGGUAGCCGGCCUGAGAGGGUGACCGGCCACAUGGGGACUGAGAGACGGACCAGACGCCUACGGGAGGCAGCAGUGGGGAAUAUUGCACAAUGGGCGGAAGCCUGAUGCAGCAACGCCGCGUGCGGGAUGACGGCCUGCGGGUUGUAAACCGCUUUCGCCUGUGACGAAGCGUGAGUGACGGUAAUGGGUAAAGAAGCACCGGCUAACUACGUG